This 433-nucleotide ribosomal RNA is filed under the name uncultured bacterium. RNAcentral's name for it is "partial 16S ribosomal RNA". It matches the Rfam family "Bacterial small subunit ribosomal RNA", at positions 29 to 507 of the family's 1533-position model. The record is from RNAcentral.
AACGAACGCUGGCGGCAUGCCUAACACAUGCAAGUCGAACGAGACCUUCGGGUCUUUUGGCGCACGGGUGCGUAACGCGUGGGAACCUGCCCUUAGGUUCGGAAUAACUCCCCGAAAGGGGUGCUAAUACCGGAUAAUGUCUUCGGACCAAAGAUUUAUGGCCUUUGGAUGGGCCCUCGUUGGAUUAGCUAGUUGGUAGGGUAAUAGCCUACUAAGGCGACGAUCCAUAGCUGGUCUGAGAGGAUGAUCAGCGACACUGGGACUGAGACACGGCCCAGAAUCGUACGGGAGGGAGGAGUGGGGAAUAUAGGAAAAUGGGCGAAAGGCUGAACCAGCAAUGCCGGGUGAGUGAUGAAGGCCUUAGGGUUGUAAAGCUCUUUUACCCGGGAUGAUAAUGACAGUACCGGGAGAAUAAGCUCCGGCUAACUACGUG